This 253-nucleotide ribosomal RNA is filed under the name uncultured bacterium. Its description in RNAcentral is "partial 16S ribosomal RNA". It matches the Rfam family "Bacterial small subunit ribosomal RNA", at positions 524 to 776 of the family's 1533-position model. The record is from RNAcentral.
UACGGAGGGUGCAAGCGUUAAUCGGAAUCACUGGGCGUAAAGCGCUCGUAGGCUGUUUGGUCAGUCAGAUGUGAAAGCCCUCGGCUUAACCGGGGAACUGCAUUUGAUACUGCCAGACUUGAGUGUCGGAGAGGGUGGCGGAAUUCCAGGUGUAGGAGUGAAAUCCGUAGAUAUCUGGAGGAACACCAGUGGCGAAGGCGGCCACCUGGACGACAACUGACGCUGAGGAGCGAAAGCGUGGGGAGCAAACAGG